AUAAUGAUACUUCCGUAAUUCGCGGCCCGGCCAUAAUGAAGGCUGGGAGGUUAGAUUCCUAUGA
Molecule: non-coding RNA, 64 nt
Filed under: human gut metagenome
Description: pemK RNA
Rfam family: pemK RNA
Source: RNAcentral